RNAcentral lists this long non-coding RNA (224 nucleotides) under Musa acuminata (dwarf banana). RNAcentral describes it as "long non-coding RNA (MACU_LNC007298)". The record is from RNAcentral. Lineage: Eukaryota; Viridiplantae; Streptophyta; Magnoliopsida; Zingiberales; Musaceae.
UGAAGUGCUAAUACAGUGGGCGAACCUACCAAUAGAAGAUGCCACUUGGGAGAACUAUGACGACUUGAAGAUCAAAUUCCUAGAAUUCACGAAUCAUCGGCCUCGAGGACAAGGUUGAUUUGAAGAGGGCGGGUCUGUUAGGACUCUAGCUUGGAGAGUCCUAAUUGAGAGGGACAUUCAUGUAAAACUGUUAGGACUCUAGCUAGGAGAGUCCUAAUUGAGAG